Molecule: small nucleolar RNA, 138 nt
Organism: Artibeus jamaicensis (Jamaican fruit-eating bat)
Lineage: Eukaryota; Metazoa; Chordata; Mammalia; Chiroptera; Phyllostomidae
Product: small nucleolar RNA SNORA23
Exons: 1
Source: RefSeq, a predicted model, not a curated record
GCCGUUUUGCAUUCAGUCAGAUCUUGCUAUCCACACAAACAUCAUGUAGCCAAAAAUUGAGCUGGGGUCAUAGUACUGGUCUAGUGUUCUCAUGGGGCAUAAUUUACCAUUGGCCAGCCUCCAAAUUCUCACGCAGGG